GGUUAAGCGACUAAGCGUACACGGUGGAUGCCCUGGCAGUCAGAGGCGAUGAAGGACGUGCUAAUCUGCGAUAAGCGUCGGUAAGGUGAUAUGAACCGUUAUAACCGGCGAUUUCCGAAUGGGGAAACCCAGUGUGUUUCGACACACUAUCAUUAACUGAAUCCAUAGGUUAAUGAGGCGAACCGGGGGAACUGAAACAUCUAAGUACCCCGAGGAAAAGAAAUCAACCGAGAUUCCCCCAGUAGCGGCGAGCGAACGGGGAGGAGCCCAGAGCCUGAAUCAGUGUGUGUGUUAGUGGAAGCGUCUGGAAAGGCGCGCGAUACAGGGUGACAGCCCCGUACACAAAAAUGCACAUGCUGUGAGCUCGAUGAGUAGGGCGGGACACGUGGUAUCCUGUCUGAAUAUGGGGGGACCAUCCUCCAAGGCUAAAUACUCCUGACUGACCGAUAGUGAACCAGUACCGUGAGGGAAAGGCGAAAAGAACCCCGGCGAGGGGAGUGAAAAAGAACCUGAAACCGUGUACGUACAAGCAGUGGGAGCACGCUUAGGCGUGUGACUGCGUACCUUUUGUAUAAUGGGUCAGCGACUUAUAUUCUGUAGCAAGGUUAACCGAAUAGGGGAGCCGAAGGGAAACCGAGUCUUAACUGGGCGUUAAGUUGCAGGGUAUAGACCCGAAACCCGGUGAUCUAGCCAUGGGCAGGUUGAAGGUUGGGUAACACUAACUGGAGGACCGAACCGACUAAUGUUGAAAAAUUAGCGGAUGACUUGUGGCUGGGGGUGAAAGGCCAAUCAAACCGGGAGAUAGCUGGUUCUCCCCGAAAGCUAUUUAGGUAGCGCCUCGUGAAUUCAUCUCCGGGGGUAGAGCACUGUUUCGGCAAGGGGGUCAUCCCGACUUACCAACCCGAUGCAAACUGCGAAUACCGGAGAAUGUUAUCACGGGAGACACACGGCGGGUGCUAACGUCCGUCGUGAAGAGGGAAACAACCCAGACCGCCAGCUAAGGUCCCAAAGUCAUGGUUAAGUGGGAAACGAUGUGGGAAGGCCCAGACAGCCAGGAUGUUGGCUUAGAAGCAGCCAUCAUUUAAAGAAAGCGUAAUAGCUCACUGGUCGAGUCGGCCUGCGCGGAAGAUGUAACGGGGCUAAACCAUGCACCGAAGCUGCGGCAGCGACGCUUAUGCGUUGUUGGGUAGGGGAGCGUUCUGUAAGCCUGUGAAGGUGUGCUGUGAGGCAUGCUGGAGGUAUCAGAAGUGCGAAUGCUGACAUAAGUAACGAUAAAGCGGGUGAAAAGCCCGCUCGCCGGAAGACCAAGGGUUCCUGUCCAACGUUAAUCGGGGCAGGGUGAGUCGACCCCUAAGGCGAGGCCGAAAGGCGUAGUCGAUGGGAAACAGGUUAAUAUUCCUGUACUUGGUGUUACUGCGAAGGGGGGACGGAGAAGGCUAUGUUGGCCGGGCGACGGUUGUCCCGGUUUAAGCGUGUAGGCUGGUUUUCCAGGCAAAUCCGGAAAAUCAAGGCUGAGGCGUGAUGACGAGGCACUACGGUGCUGAAGCAACAAAUGCCCUGCUUCCAGGAAAAGCCUCUAAGCAUCAGGUAACAUCAAAUCGUACCCCAAACCGACACAGGUGGUCAGGUAGAGAAUACCAAGGCGCUUGAGAGAACUCGGGUGAAGGAACUAGGCAAAAUGGUGCCGUAACUUCGGGAGAAGGCACGCUGAUAUGUAGGUGAAGUCCCUCGCGGAUGGAGCUGAAAUCAGUCGAAGAUACCAGCUGGCUGCAACUGUUUAUUAAAAACACAGCACUGUGCAAACACGAAAGUGGACGUAUACGGUGUGACGCCUGCCCGGUGCCGGAAGGUUAAUUGAUGGGGUUAGCCGCAAGGCGAAGCUCUUGAUCGAAGCCCCGGUAAACGGCGGCCGUAACUAUAACGGUCCUAAGGUAGCGAAAUUCCUUGUCGGGUAAGUUCCGACCUGCACGAAUGGCGUAAUGAUGGCCAGGCUGUCUCCACCCGAGACUCAGUGAAAUUGAACUCGCUGUGAAGAUGCAGUGUACCCGCGGCAAGACGGAAAGACCCCGUGAACCUUUACUAUAGCUUGACACUGAACAUUGAGCCUUGAUGUGUAGGAUAGGUGGGAGGCUUUGAAGUGUGGACGCCAGUCUGCAUGGAGCCGACCUUGAAAUACCACCCUUUAAUGUUUGAUGUUCUAACGUUGACCCGUAAUCCGGGUUGCGGACAGUGUCUGGUGGGUAGUUUGACUGGGGCGGUCUCCUCCUAAAGAGUAACGGAGGAGCACGAAGGUUGGCUAAUCCUGGUCGGACAUCAGGAGGUUAGUGCAAUGGCAUAAGCCAGCUUGACUGCGAGCGUGACGGCGCGAGCAGGUGCGAAAGCAGGUCAUAGUGAUCCGGUGGUUCUGAAUGGAAGGGCCAUCGCUCAACGGAUAAAAGGUACUCCGGGGAUAACAGGCUGAUACCGCCCAAGAGUUCAUAUCGACGGCGGUGUUUGGCACCUCGAUGUCGGCUCAUCACAUCCUGGGGCUGAAGUAGGUCCCAAGGGUAUGGCUGUUCGCCAUUUAAAGUGGUACGCGAGCUGGGUUUAGAACGUCGUGAGACAGUUCGGUCCCUAUCUGCCGUGGGCGCUGGAGAACUGAGGGGGGCUGCUCCUAGUACGAGAGGACCGGAGUGGACGCAUCACUGGUGUUCGGGUUGUCAUGCCAAUGGCACUGCCCGGUAGCUAAAUGCGGAAGAGAUAAGUGCUGAAAGCAUCUAAGCACGAAACUUGCCCCGAGAUGAGUUCUCCCUGACUCCUUGAGAGUCCUGAAGGAACGUUGAAGACGACGACGUUGAUAGGCCGGGUGUGUAAGCGCAGCGAUGCGUUGAGCUAACCGGUACUAAUGAACCGUGAGGCUUAACCUU
RNAcentral lists this ribosomal RNA (2906 nucleotides) under Escherichia coli. RNAcentral's name for it is "23S ribosomal RNA". It matches the Rfam family "Bacterial large subunit ribosomal RNA". The record is from RNAcentral. Lineage: Bacteria; Pseudomonadati; Pseudomonadota; Gammaproteobacteria; Enterobacterales; Enterobacteriaceae.